AGAGUUUGAUCAUGGCUCAGAACGAACGCUGGCGGCAGGCUUAACACAUGCAAGUCGAACGCCCCGCAAGGGGAGUGGCAGACGGGUGAGUAACGCGUGGGAAUCUACCCUUUGGUACGGGAUAGCUCCGGGAAACUGGAAUUAAUACCGUAUGUGCCCUGAGGGGCAAAGAUUUAUCGCCAAAGGAUGAGCCCGCGUUGGAUUAGCUAGUUGGUGGGGUAAAGGCCUACCAAGGCGACGAUCCAUAGCUGGUCUAAGAGGAUGAUCAGCCACAUUGGGACUGAGACACGGCCCAAACUCCUACGGGAGGCAGCAGUGGGGAAUAUUGGACAAUGGGCGCAAGCCUGAUCCANCCAUGCCGCGUGAGUGAUGAAGGUCUUAGGAUGGUAAAGCUCUUUCACCGGGGACGAUAAUGACGGUACCCGGAGAAGAAGCCCCG
RNAcentral lists this ribosomal RNA (439 nucleotides) under uncultured bacterium. RNAcentral's name for it is "bacterial SSU rRNA". It matches the Rfam family "Bacterial small subunit ribosomal RNA", at positions 8 to 495 of the family's 1533-position model. The record is from RNAcentral.